UGGGGAAUAUUGGACAAUGGGGGAAACCCUGAUCCAGCAAUGCCGCGUGAGUGAAGAAGGCCUUAGGGUUGUAAAGCUCUUUCGCCCGCGAAGAUAAUGACGGUAGCGGGAGAAGAAGCCCCGGCUAACUCCGUGCCAGCAGCCGCGGUAAUACGGAGGGGGCUAGCGUUGUUCGGAAUUACUGGGCGUAAAGCGUACGUAGGCGGAUGCGCAAGUUGGGGGUGAAAUCCCGGGGCUUAACCUCGGAAUUGCCCUCAAAACUGCACGUCUUGAGACCGAGAGAGGUAAGGGGAAUUCCUAGUGUAGAGGUGAAGUUCGUAGAUAUUAGGAAGAACACCAGCGGCGAAGGCGCCUUACUGGCUCGGUACUGACGCUGAGGUACGAAAGCGUGGGGAGCAAACA
This 402-nucleotide ribosomal RNA is filed under the name uncultured bacterium. Its description in RNAcentral is "bacterial SSU rRNA". It matches the Rfam family "Bacterial small subunit ribosomal RNA", at positions 355 to 774 of the family's 1533-position model. The record is from RNAcentral.